This 687-nucleotide ribosomal RNA is filed under the name uncultured fungus. RNAcentral describes it as "eukaryotic LSU rRNA". It matches the Rfam family "Eukaryotic large subunit ribosomal RNA", at positions 24 to 664 of the family's 3401-position model. The record is from RNAcentral. Lineage: Eukaryota; Fungi.
CCCGCUGAACUUAAGCAUAUCAAUAAGCGGAGGAAAAGAAACUAACAAGGAUUCCCCUAGUAACUGCGAGUGAAGCGGGAAAAGCUCAAAUUUAAAAUCUGGCGGUCCUUGUGGCCGUCCGAGUUGUAAUUUAGAGAAGUGCUAUCCGUGCUGGACCGUGUACAAGUCUCCUGGAAUGGAGCGUCAUAGAGGGUGAGAAUCCCGUCUUUGACACGGACUGCCAGUGCAUUGUGAUGCGCUCUCGAAGAGUCGAGUUGUUUGGGAAUGCAGCUCAAAAUGGGUGGUAAAUUCCAUCUAAAGCUAAAUAUGGGCGAGAGACCGAUAGCGAACAAGUACCGUGAGGGAAAGAUGAAAAGGACUUUGAAAAGAGAGUUAAACAGUACGUGAAAUUGCUGAAAGGGAAACGAUUCAAGUCAGUCGCAUUGGCCGGUAAUCAACCUUUGCAAAUCCAAUUUGCUGGGCUUACUUUCCGGUUUGAUGGGUCAGCAUCAAUUUUGACUGUCGGAUAAAGGCUUGGGGGAAUGUGGCAUCUUCGGAUGUGUUAUAGCCCUUGGUCGCAUGCGAUGGUUGGGAUUGAGGAACUCAGCAUGGCCCUUUGAAAGGAGGGCUCGGAGGGGUUGUUGCCCUUCACGUAACGUGCUUAGGAUGUUGGCAUAAUGGCUUGAACCGACCCGUCUUGAAACACGG